AAGUCGUAACAAGGUUUCCGUAGGUGAACCUGCGGAAGGAUCAUUACUAAAUUUGAUUAUCCAUAAACCCCAAAUUUUGUGAGCACGUUAAAAUCGAUCAUUCCUUUUUCGAAAGAAAUUGGCUUGGUCGAUUUUAUUUUAUAAACACCUAUUAAAAUAACUGCGAAAGCAAUAGUCUGAAAAUUAAAAAAGAAAUUUUUUUAUAAAAAAACAACUUUUAACAACGGAUCUCUUGGCUCUC
This 241-nucleotide unclassified non-coding RNA is filed under the name fungal sp. RNAcentral describes it as "partial internal transcribed spacer region". The stretch from base 1 to 46 matches the Rfam family "Eukaryotic small subunit ribosomal RNA", at positions 1786 to 1831 of the family's 1831-position model. Lineage: Eukaryota; Fungi. The record is from RNAcentral.